This 253-nucleotide ribosomal RNA is filed under the name uncultured bacterium. RNAcentral describes it as "partial 16S ribosomal RNA". It matches the Rfam family "Bacterial small subunit ribosomal RNA", at positions 524 to 776 of the family's 1533-position model. The record is from RNAcentral.
UACGUAGGAUGCAAGCGUUGCUCGGAAUUAUUGGGUGUAAAGGGCGCGUAGGCGGUUUGAUAAGUCAUUGGUGAAAGCCCACGGCUCAACCGUGGAAUUGCCUGUGAUACUGUCAGACUAGAGUACGGGAGAGGGGAGUGGAAUUCCUGGUGUAGCGGUGAAAUGCGUAGAUAUCAGGAGGAACACCGGUGGCGAAGGCGGCUCCCUGGACCGAUACUGACGCUGAGGCGCGAAAGCGUGGGUAGCAAACAGG